GACGAACGCUGGCGGCGUGCUUAACACAUGCAAGUCGAACGGAAAGGCCCUGCCUUUGUGGGGUGCUCGAGUUGCGAACGGGUGAGUAACACGUGAGUAACCUGCCCUUUACUUUGGGAUAACUUCAUGAAACUGGGGCUAAUACCGCCUAGGAGCUCCUGCUGCAUGGUGGGCGCUGGAAAGUUUCGGUGGUUGGGGCUGGACUCGCGGCCGAUCAGCUUGUUGGGGUGGUAGUGGCUUACCAAGGCUUUGACCGGUAGCCGGUCUGAGAGGAGCACCUGCCAAGUUACAACGGGAAUAAGACACAGACGCGUACCGGAGGGAGGAGAGGAGUGUGGAACACGAUGGGAGGAAGGAUGAUGCGACAACGCCGCGUGCGGGAUGACAUCAUGGCGGUAGGAAACCACAUUCGCGUGUGACGAAACGAGAGUGACGGUAACGGGUAAAGAAGCACCGGCUAACUACGUG
Molecule: ribosomal RNA, 468 nt
Filed under: uncultured bacterium
Lineage: Bacteria
Description: partial 16S ribosomal RNA
Rfam family: Bacterial small subunit ribosomal RNA
Source: RNAcentral